This 560-nucleotide ribosomal RNA is filed under the name uncultured Alphaproteobacteria bacterium. RNAcentral's name for it is "bacterial SSU rRNA". It matches the Rfam family "Bacterial small subunit ribosomal RNA", at positions 338 to 916 of the family's 1533-position model. The record is from RNAcentral. Lineage: Bacteria; Pseudomonadati; Pseudomonadota; Alphaproteobacteria.
CCUACGGGAGGCAGCAGUGGGGAAUCUUGCGCAAUGGGCGAAAGCCUGACGCAGCCAUGCCGCGUGUAUGAUGAAGGUCUUAGGAUUGUAAAAUACUUUCACCGGUGAAGAUAAUGACUGUAGCCGGAGAAGAAGCCCCGGCUAACUUCGUGCCAGCAGCCGCGGUAAUACGAAGGGGGCUAGCGUUGCUCGGAAUUACUGGGCGUAAAGGGAGCGUAGGCGGACAUUUAAGUCAGGGGUGAAAUCCCAGAGCUCAACUCUGGAACUGCCUUUGAUACUGGAUGUCUUGAGUAUGAGAGAGGUAUGUGGAACUCCGAGUGUAGAGGUGAAAUUCGUAGAUAUUCGGAAGAACACCAGUGGCGAAGGCGACAUACUGGCUCAUUACUGACGCUGAGGCUCGAAAGCGUGGGGAGCAAACAGGAUUAGAUACCCUGGUAGUCCACGCCGUAAACGAUGAUUGCUAGUUGUCGGGAUGCAUGCAUUUCGGUGACGCAGCUAACGCAUUAAGCAAUCCGCCUGGGGAGUACGGUCGCAAGAUUAAAACUCAAAGGAAUUGACGG